GUAGAAACUUAGAAUUGUGGUGGAAACUGGUGUUUUAAAAGCGGAUUAUUAUGUUCGAACUAAAAAAAGUGGGGGUAAGCUCAGGAUCAGAAACCUCACCCAGUUCCCAUUAGUUCUAUAUGUUAUUAAUUUUCAGUUCCUAUACAACUUUUCCACAUAAAUUGGAUUUGAAGCGGCCGGUUCAACUACCCAAAUUGGCUUCGCAAGUCACUGAUUCAACUUCAACCUACUGAUUCACUUUUUAAAACAGCAGCGAAGGAAAAGAUAAAAAUAACCAAUAAAACCAGAAAGUGAACUCACAUCGAAUUUGUUGCUCCUGAGAGCAUCAGAGAGGUGGUGAAGGAACUCUUCUUUGUAAAGUCCAUUGUAUGCCUCACGAAUUUGCUUUAGUUCUUGAGAGCUUCUACUUGCAAGGAUCUCCAUAACUUUUUGCCUAUUGCCCGCUACAUGACCUACGUAGCUUACCCAUCAGUUUUCUCUUUGAAGAAAACUCAGUAUGAAUAGGGAAUGGGGUUGGUGAAUUCGCAGUUAAGGUGGCGGAUGCUUCAACAUAACAUAUCAAAGAAGAAAAAUUCACUAUUUAUAUAUUGCGAUGAUGAUAAAGUUUUCAAUGUUGAUAAUGGAAGAAAUCCAUAAUUUAGCCAAUGUCGACUAGAAGAAAAAAAUAAAAUAUUACCUCGAUGGUAGGAUUGAAGAAAUUGGCAAUCCAGAUGAUCUUUGUGAUUGAGUUGUGGUUUGGCCAUUGUGUGAGAUAGUGUUUCCUGUGGCAACCUUUGUUGCUUUCACAUGAUGACUUACGUGGUUAGAGUGAGUGAGAUGGUUCUCUUUAUAGGUUGAACUGACAUGUUCCUUUCUUAGGAAUAUAACUUUUGCAAAGUUC
RNAcentral lists this long non-coding RNA (880 nucleotides) under Amborella trichopoda. RNAcentral's name for it is "long non-coding RNA (ATRI_LNC001011)". Lineage: Eukaryota; Viridiplantae; Streptophyta; Magnoliopsida; Amborellales; Amborellaceae. The record is from RNAcentral.